This is a long non-coding RNA of Ictalurus punctatus (channel catfish), 618 nucleotides long. Lineage: Eukaryota; Metazoa; Chordata; Actinopteri; Siluriformes; Ictaluridae. The record is from Ensembl.
CACAUCUGUUCGAAUUUUCGUCCCCUGGAGAGUUGCCCUCGUUCACUAUUCAGCCUCAGAGGGAAUAAGGGGUGGUGAUGAUGGGUCUCUGUGAAGUCAUUACCCCUCUCCAUUCUUUAUCUCUCACUUCCUCCCUCUUCAAUUCCCUUUUUGCUCUUCUUUCUCUAUUGCUCGCUCAGAAAAUCCAGGACUCCCAAGAGAGACGGUCCUCAAUUCAUCUGUUCAAAUAUUCCUCCCCUAGAGACGUCCCCUAGAGAGGCGCCCUCGUUCAGUGGAAGUGAGGAAUGAUGAGGCGUGAUGGAGAGACGCUGACCUGCCUCACACAUUAAAUAAAAAUAGGAAUGAAAGACAAAAUAAUAUCCUGUGGUGAAGAAACACCAGGCUGUAGUCAAGACCGCCUUGGCCCAGGAGCAGCCCGAGACAAAUCCAAUAGCAGGACCAGCCGAGAUCAGGCGAAGACCGAGUCUUAAAGCAGUCGAGAUCAGGCGAAGACCGAGUCUUAAAGCAGUCGAGGCCGUCCGUUAAGUCCAAAUAAAAGCUAGCCUGAGGCUGAAACCCAGCAGACUUUCGGAUUUUGAUUGAAUCAUUAUAUGGGCCCUAUACAUACACAAUGACAUG